AUGGCUGGGGACUGCACACUGCAGACUGGGCAGGAGUGGACUCUGAAGUUGCAUCCUGGUAUGAAUACAAGCAAGAGUGAGACAGUGAAAGACCAUCCAUUAAAACCCUCUAGAAGAUCUAUGCCAUGCCUAGCCCAGAGCCAAACACAUCCUCAGAGUCUGAGCAAGCAUUCGUCAUUUCUGCAGCCAAAUCGGGUGCAGCCACAGCCCCGGCCUCAGCCUCUAAGUGCAGGGACAUCUACAGCUACAGUGGAUGUAGUGUCAGAACGAGCAAAAGUGAUGGAAACUUUGGAAAACAACUUGCUUAAGCUGUCUAAUACAGAAUACAGGGAUCCAUUUUCAGACAUAGGAAAGGACAAAGAUACGUACACAGAUGAUUCAGAACAUGGAAAUUAUGAUGCUCGUACAGAUCAGUCAUUGCUUAUUCAGAACAAGCUUACCAGACAGAAAACAGAACCUCGGACUAAAUCAUCUUUAAAGGUAGUGUAUUUUGCUAUGCGGCAAGGUAAAGAAAGGAUUUUUAGAACAAAGUUGACAUAUUAUCACUAUGGGUUCAGAAAUGCUGCCUAGACAGUAGCCUAGAUUACUGCCUUUUUCUGGUAUCCACUGAUAUUCACUAUAAUACUGCAUGUCUAGACUAG
This is a non-coding RNA of Pelecanus crispus (Dalmatian pelican), 641 nucleotides long. NCBI's taxonomy places the organism in Eukaryota, Metazoa, Chordata, Aves, Pelecaniformes, Pelecanidae. The record is from RefSeq and is a predicted model, not a curated record.